CGGUGUUCCUUCGCAGUUGAGCGGCUGGCUCCUGGCUGAACGAAGGCCACCGGGGGAAUGGCGCUGAGGUGCAGGACAGUUGUGUCCACCGCGGAAGACACCUCCGGAUGAUGCCGGCUGGGAGGAAGCACCUGGAGAAAGCUGAGAAGGCCUCGAGGGAGGCUGAGGACAUGGCAGCCUGUGACCCUGGCAUGCAAGAGUGGAGAGAGCUCAUGGGGCUAGAGGAGGGCCCCGAAGCAAAAUCCAUGUGUGUGGGAAGCAGUUUCGUGUACUGGAGGUCGCCCACCUGAUCCUCCUGUCCCAGACCAGGAUCACAGAAGCUGUACAGAAGCUUCCUGAUCACAAGAGCUGAUUACAGAAGCAGCUCUGCUGCCCAGGGGGUUAGAGUGCCUAGAGUUCUGCGGGAUUCCCAGCUGCUGGGCUAAGUGUCCCGGGAUGCUUCCAUCCAGCUUUGGGGUCCCUGUCCCUUUAAGACUUUCAAAAAGCACUCGCUUUUCUUUGUCCCUGGGGUGCUGGCUGCGGGGACCCGCUCACAAGUCUUGCUGUCCUGUUUCCCUAGUUUUCAGGACCCCACGCACACACUGUGUCUGCGCUCUGGUGCAGAUGGCUAGGGCUUGGUGUUUAGCAGUCCUGGGCUCCCUCUCCCUCCCCGCUCCAACUCCUCUCCUCCCACCGGGAGCUGGGGUGAGGGGCGCUCGGGUCCCGCCGGGCCGCGGCUUGUAUCUUACCCCCUUCGCUAGGCACUGGGUUCUCACAGGUGUGGAUGUAGUCUGGCUGUUGUCUGUCUUCUGGUCUCUCUUUUAGGGAGAGUUGUAUUUGUUGUAUUUUCAAAAAUAUGUGUGGUUUUGGGAGGAGAUUUCCUCUGCUCUACUCUUGCCGCCAUCUUAGCUCCUCCCUCUAAGUAACUUUAAAUAAAACUUUUACUCUGCUUCAUUACUAUUUCUCUGCCCUUCAAUUCUUUGUUGCAGCAGGGACAUGAACCGAGGAAAAUAUACAACGCUCCCCCGUAACAGAUAUUCUCCAUCAGAUUAGAAAGACUUUUUUGUAGAUAGACUCUAUCAGAUUAGGAGA
Molecule: long non-coding RNA, 1071 nt
Organism: Manis pentadactyla (Chinese pangolin)
Lineage: Eukaryota; Metazoa; Chordata; Mammalia; Pholidota; Manidae
Exons: 3
Source: RefSeq, a predicted model, not a curated record